Molecule: ribosomal RNA, 460 nt
Filed under: uncultured bacterium
Lineage: Bacteria
Description: SSU rRNA
Rfam family: Bacterial small subunit ribosomal RNA
Source: RNAcentral
AGAAUCAACGCUGGCGGCGUGCCUAACACAUGCAAGUCGAACGAGAAAGUGGAGCAAUCCAUGAGUAAAGUGGCGACCGGGUGAGUAACACGUGACUAACCUACCUUCGAGUGGGGGAUAACCUCGGGAAACCGAGGCUAAUACCGCAUAACAUCGCAAGAUCAAAGCAGCAAUGCGCUGGAAGAGGGGGUCGCGGCUGAUUAGCUAGUUGGCGGGGUAAUGGCCCACCAAGGCGAAGAUCGGUAGCCGGCCUGAGAGGGCGCACGGCCACACUGGAACUGAAACACGGUCCAGACUCCUACGGGAGGCAGCAGUGGGGAAUUUUGCGCAAUGGGGGAAACCCUGACGCAGCAACGCCGCGUGGAGGAUGAAGCCCCUUGGGGUGUAAACUCCUUUCGAUCGGGAAGAUAAUGACGGUACCGAUAUAAGAAGCCCCGGCUAACUUCGUGCCAGCAGCCGC